GAUGAACGCUGGCGGCGUGCCUAAUACAUGCAAGUCGAGCGAACAGACGAGGAGCUUGCUCCUCUGACGUUAGCGGCGGACGAGUGAGUAACACGUGGAUAACCUACCUAUAAGACUGGGAUAACUUCGGGAAACCGGAGCUAAUACCGGAUAAUAUAUUGAACCGCAUGGUUCAAUAGUGAAAGACGGUUUUGCUGUCACUUAUAGAUGGAUCCGCGCCGCAUUAGCUAGUUGGUAAGGUAACGGCUUACCAAGGCGACGAUGCGUAGCCGACCUGAGAGGGUGAUCGGCCACACUGGAACUGAGAAACGGUCCAGACUCCUACGGGAGGCAGCAGUAGGGAAUCUUCCGCAAUGGGCGAAAGCCUGACGGAGCAACGCCGCGUGAGUGAUGAAGGUCUUCGGAUCGUAAAACUCUGUUAUUAGGGAAGAACAAAUGUGUAAGUAACUAUGCACGUCUUGACGGUACCUAAUCAGAAAGCCACGGCUAACUACGUG
RNAcentral lists this ribosomal RNA (497 nucleotides) under uncultured bacterium. Its description in RNAcentral is "partial 16S ribosomal RNA". It matches the Rfam family "Bacterial small subunit ribosomal RNA", at positions 28 to 507 of the family's 1533-position model. The record is from RNAcentral.